This 433-nucleotide ribosomal RNA is filed under the name Streptococcus mitis. RNAcentral describes it as "bacterial SSU rRNA". It matches the Rfam family "Bacterial small subunit ribosomal RNA", at positions 28 to 453 of the family's 1533-position model. The record is from RNAcentral. Lineage: Bacteria; Bacillati; Bacillota; Bacilli; Lactobacillales; Streptococcaceae.
GACGAACGCUGGCGGCGUGCCUAAUACAUGCAAGUAGAACGCUGAAGGAGGAGCUUGCUUCUCUGGAUGAGUUGCGAACGGGUGAGUAACGCGUAGGUAACCUGCCUGGUAGCGGGGGAUAACUAUUGGAAACGAUAGCUAAUACCGCAUAAUAGCAGUUAUUGCAUGAUAACUGUUUGAAAGGUGCAAUUGCACCACUACCAGAUGGACCUGCGUUGUAUUAGCUAGUUGGUGGGGUAACGGCUCACCAAGGCGACGAUACAUAGCCGACCUGAGAGGGUGAUCGGCCACACUGGGACUGAGACACGGCCCAGACUCCUACGGGAGGCAGCAGUAGGGAAUCUUCGGCAAUGGACGGAAGUCUGACCGAGCAACGCCGCGUGAGUGAAGAAGGUUUUCGGAUCGUAAAGCUCUGUUGUAAAGAGAAAGAAAC